This 1015-nucleotide ribosomal RNA is filed under the name Salmonella enterica subsp. enterica serovar Dublin str. SA20093032. Its description in RNAcentral is "bacterial LSU rRNA". It matches the Rfam family "Bacterial large subunit ribosomal RNA", at positions 1 to 1045 of the family's 2925-position model. Lineage: Bacteria; Pseudomonadati; Pseudomonadota; Gammaproteobacteria; Enterobacterales; Enterobacteriaceae. The record is from RNAcentral.
GGGUUGUGAGGUUAAGCGACUAAGCGUACACGGUGGAUGCCCUGGCAGUCAGAGGCGAUGAAGGGCGUGCUAAUCUGCGAUAAGCGCCGGUAAGGUGAUAUGAACCGUUAUAACCGGCGAUACCCGAAUGGGGAAACCCAGUGUGAUUCGUCACACUAUCAUUAACUGAAUCCAUAGGUUAAUGAGGCGAACCGGGGGAACUGAAACAUCUAAGUACCCCGAGGAAAAGAAAUCAACCGAGAUUCCCCCAGUAGCGGCGAGCGAACGGGGAGGAGCCCAGAGCCUGAAUCAGCAUGUGUGUUAGUGGAAGCGUCUGGAAAGGCGCGCGAUACAGGGUGACAGCCCCGUACACAAAAGCGCAUGUGCUGUGAGCUCGAUGAGUAGGGCGGGACACGUGGUAUCCUGUCUGAAUAUGGGGGGACCAUCCUCCAAGGCUAAAUACUCCUGACUGACCGAUAGUGAACCAGUACCGUGAGGGAAAGGCGAAAAGAACCCCGGCGAGGGGAGUGAAAAAGAACCUGAAACCGUGUACGUACAAGCAGUGGGAGCACAGGUUUACCUGUGUGACUGCGUACCUUUUGUAUAAUGGGUCAGCGACUUAUAUUCUGUAGCAAGGUUAACCGAAUAGGGGAGCCGGAGGGAAACCGAGUCUUAAUUGGGCGUUAAGUUGCAGGGUAUAGACCCGAAACCCGGUGAUCUAGCCAUGGGCAGGUUGAAGGUUGGGUAACACUAACUGGAGGACCGAACCGACUAAUGUUGAAAAAUUAGCGGAUGACCUGUGGCUGGGGGUGAAAGGCCAAUCAAACCGGGAGAUAGCUGGUUCUCCCCGAAAGCUAUUUAGGUAGCGCCUCGUGAAUUCAUCUCCGGGGGUAGAGCACUGUUUCGGCUAGGGGGCCAUCCCGGCUUACCAACCCGAUGCAAACUGCGAAUACCGGAGAAUGUUAUCACGGGAGACACACGGCGGGUGCUAACGUCCGUCGUGAAGAGGGAAACAACCCAGACCGCCAGCUAAGGU